Molecule: ribosomal RNA, 643 nt
Filed under: uncultured archaeon
Lineage: Archaea
Description: SSU rRNA
Rfam family: Archaeal small subunit ribosomal RNA
Source: RNAcentral
GGUAAUACCGGCGCCUCAAGUGGUAGUCGCUUUUAUUGGGCCUAAAACGUCCGUAGCCGGUCUGAUACAUUCGUGGGUAAAUCAACCAGCUUAACUGGUUGAAUUCUGCGAGGACGGUCAGACUUGGGACCGGGAGAGGUGUGGGGUACGCUCAGGGUAGGGGUAAAAUCCUGUCAUCCUGAGCGGACCACCUGUUGCGAAGGCGCCACACUAGAACGGAUCCGACGGUCAGGGACGAAGCCUAGGGGCACGAACCGGAUUAGAUACCCGGGUAGUCCUAGGUGUAAACGCUGUGGACUUGAUGUUGGGGGUGCUCCGAGCACUCUCAGUGUCGAAGCGAAGGUGAUAAGUCCACUGCCUGGGAAGUACGGUCGCAAGGCUGAAACUUAAAGGAAUUGGCGGGGGAGCACCGCAACCUGAGGAUUGUGCGGUUUAAUUGGAUUCAACGCCGGAAAACUCACCAUAGCCGACGGACAAAUGAAGGUCAGUGUAAUGAACUUACCGGAUUGUUCGAGAGGUAGUGCAUGGCCGCCGUCAGUUCGUACCGCAAGGCGUUCUGUUAAGUCAGAUAACGAACGAGACCCUCAUCUCUAUUUGCUAACUGAAUCUCCGGAUUCAGUGCACUAUAGGGAGACCGCUGGCG